RNAcentral lists this ribosomal RNA (380 nucleotides) under uncultured eukaryote. RNAcentral describes it as "partial 18S ribosomal RNA". It matches the Rfam family "Eukaryotic small subunit ribosomal RNA", at positions 592 to 976 of the family's 1831-position model. The record is from RNAcentral.
CAAUAGCGUAUAUUAAAGUUGUUGCAGUUAAAAAGCUCGUAGUUGGAUUUGUGGCGUACGGUGUGUUCCGGGCACUUGUUGUCUGAGUAACCUGCUGUUGCCAUCCUUGGGUGGAACCUGUGUGGCAUUAGGUUGUCGUGCAGGGGCUGCCCAUCAUUUACUGUGAAAAAAUUAGAGUGUUCAAAGCAGGCUUAUGCCGUUGAAUAUAUUAGCAUGGAAUAAUGAGAUAGGACUUUUUUGCUAUUUUGUUGGUUUGCGCAAAGAGGUAAUGAUUAAUAGGGACAGUUGGGGGUAUUCGUAUUCCAUUGUCAGAGGUGAAAUUCUUGGAUUUUUGGAAGACGAACUACUGCGAAAGCAUUUACCAAGGAUGUUUUCAUUAA